GAGUACUACAGCUCUUUUAGAAUUUGCCUAGCAGGUUUUCCCGUCUUUACUAGAAACCCCUC
Gorilla gorilla gorilla (western lowland gorilla) is the source of this 62-nucleotide small nuclear RNA. Its record names the gene U7. It matches the Rfam family "U7 small nuclear RNA". From Rfam's summary of the family: Animal histone pre-mRNAs are spliced by a different mechanism than nuclear pre-mRNAs and self-splicing introns. The record is from Ensembl. Lineage: Eukaryota; Metazoa; Chordata; Mammalia; Primates; Hominidae.